RNAcentral lists this unclassified non-coding RNA (339 nucleotides) under uncultured fungus. RNAcentral describes it as "sequence contains ITS1". The stretch from base 1 to 103 matches the Rfam family "5.8S ribosomal RNA", at positions 50 to 154 of the family's 154-position model. The record is from RNAcentral. Lineage: Eukaryota; Fungi.
UAACUGCGUGCAGACGUGUGAACUGCAGGACACAUGAACACCGACAUUUCGAACGCAUAUGGCGGCUUGAAAUAAAUUUCAAGCCACGUCUGGCUGAGGGUCGGAUAAAAAAUAAAAACCAAAGAGACUCUUUCAAGAGUUUUCAUCGCCAAGUUUUACGCUUGGUUAGAUCAAAAAAUGUGUAUGUUUGUUGAAGCUUGUAUAGAAAUUGUCUCAAGUUCUCAGGCAGCAGACAGAAUAAAAUUUGUUUUGUGGAAAGACAACAUACAUGAAUCAUAGACGAAAGUCUAAAUUAUCUAUUGCGACCUCAGAGCAGGCGAGAUUACCCGCUGAACUUAA